CCUACGGGUGGCAGCAGUGGGGAAUAUUGCACAAUGGGGGGAACCCUGAUGCAGCGACGCCGCGUGGGUGAAGGAGUAUUUCGGUAUGUAAAGCCCUAUCAGCAGGGAAGAACAAUGACGGUACCUGACUAAGAAGCACCGGCUAAAUACGUGCCAGCAGCCGCGGUAAUACGUAUGGUGCAAGCGUUAUCCGGAUUUCUUGGGUGUAAAGGGAGCGCAGGCGGCGCGUUAAGCCUGGUGUGAAAGUCCGCGGCCCAACCGCGGGACUGCAUUGGGAACUGGCGCGCUGGAGUGCCGGAGGGGUAGGCGGAAUGCCUAGUGUAGCGGUGAAAUGCGUAGAUAUUAGGAGGAACACCGGUGGCGAAGGCGGCCUGCUGGACUGUGACUGACGUUGAGGCCCGAAGGCGUGGGGAGCAAACAGGAUUAGAUACCCUUGUAGUC
Molecule: ribosomal RNA, 441 nt
Filed under: uncultured bacterium
Lineage: Bacteria
Description: partial 16S ribosomal RNA
Rfam family: Bacterial small subunit ribosomal RNA
Source: RNAcentral